RNAcentral lists this transfer RNA (76 nucleotides) under Fusibacter paucivorans. RNAcentral's name for it is "tRNA-Val". It matches the Rfam family "tRNA". From Rfam's summary of the family: Transfer RNA (tRNA) molecules are approximately 80 nucleotides in length. Lineage: Bacteria; Bacillati; Bacillota; Clostridia; Eubacteriales; Fusibacteraceae. The record is from RNAcentral.
GGGGGUAUAGCUCAGCUGGGAGAGCAUCUGCCUUACAAGCAGAGGGUCAUAGGUUCGAGCCCUGUUACCCCCACCA